GCCCUAGUAGCUUACACCCAAAGCAUUGUUCUUGUAAACCAAAGACGGUUUCCUUACCCUAGAGCA
This 66-nucleotide transfer RNA is filed under the name Emydocephalus ijimae. RNAcentral describes it as "tRNA-Thr". Lineage: Eukaryota; Metazoa; Chordata; Lepidosauria; Squamata; Elapidae. RNAcentral also lists the same sequence under 1 other name. The record is from RNAcentral.